CAGCAGCCACGGUAAUACGUAGGUCCCGAGCGUUGUCCGGAUUUAUUGGGCGUAAAGCGAGCGCAGGCGGUUAGAUAAGUCUGAAGUUAAAGGCUGUGGCUUAACCAUAGUACGCUUUGGAAACUGUUUAACUUGAGUGCAAGAGGGGAGAGUGGAAUUCCAUGUGUAGCGGUGAAAUGCGUAGAUAUAUGGAGGAACACCGGUGGCGAAAGCGGCUCUCUGGCUUGUAACUGACGCUGAGGCUCGAAAGCGUGGGGAGCGAACAGGAUUAGAUACCCGCGUAGUCCCUGUCUCUUAUACA
RNAcentral lists this ribosomal RNA (301 nucleotides) under uncultured bacterium. Its description in RNAcentral is "partial 16S ribosomal RNA". It matches the Rfam family "Bacterial small subunit ribosomal RNA", at positions 509 to 808 of the family's 1533-position model. The record is from RNAcentral.